RNAcentral lists this ribosomal RNA (497 nucleotides) under uncultured Actinomycetes bacterium. RNAcentral's name for it is "bacterial SSU rRNA". It matches the Rfam family "Bacterial small subunit ribosomal RNA", at positions 8 to 522 of the family's 1533-position model. The record is from RNAcentral. Lineage: Bacteria; Bacillati; Actinomycetota; Actinomycetes.
AGAGUUUGAUCCUGGCUCAGGACGAACGCUGGCGGCGCGCCUAAAACAUGCAAGUCGAGCGAGAACCAGGACUUCGGUCCUGGGGACAGCGGCGAACGGGUGCGUAACACGUGAGCAACCUGCCCCGAAGACCGGGACAAGCCGGGGAAACCUGGUCUAAUACCGGAUGCCCUCACCGGAUCGCAUGAUCUGGCGAGGAAAUGGAUUCCGCUUCGGGAUGGGCUCGCGGUCUAUCAGCUUGUUGGUGGGGUAACGGCCUACCAAGGCGACGACGGAUAGCUGGUCUGAGAGGACGAUCAGCCACACUGGGACUGAGACACGGCCCAGACUCCUACGGGAGGCAGCAGUUAGGAAUCUUGCGCAGUGGGGGAAACCCUGACGCAGCGACGCCGCGUGCGGGAUGAAGGCUCUCGGGUUGUAAACCGCUUUCAGCAGGGACGAAAUUGACGGUACCUGCAGAAGAAGGCCCGGCCAACUACGUGCCAGCAGCCGCGGUA